AAAUGCGAUAAGUAAUGUGAAUUGCAGAAUUCAGUGAAUCAUCGAAUCUUUGAACGCACAUUGCGCUCCUUGGUAUUCCUUGGAUCAUGCCUGUUUGAGUAUCAUGAAAUCUUCAAAGUAAAUCUUUUGUUAACUCAAUUGGUUUCUACUUUGGUAUUGGAGGUCUUUGCAGCUUCACACCUGCUCCUCUUUGUUCAUUAGCUGGAUCUCAGUGUUAUGCUUGGUUCCACUCGGCGUGAUAAGUUAUCUAUCGCUGAGGACACUGUAAAAGGUGGCCAAGGUAAAUGCAGAUGAACCGCUUCUAAUAGUCCAUUGACUUGGACAAUACUUUUAUGAUCUGAUCUCAAAUCAGGUAGGACUACCCGCUGAACUUAAGC
This 377-nucleotide unclassified non-coding RNA is filed under the name plant metagenome. Its description in RNAcentral is "partial contains 5.8S ribosomal RNA, internal transcribed spacer 2, and large subunit ribosomal RNA". The stretch from base 1 to 104 matches the Rfam family "5.8S ribosomal RNA", at positions 51 to 154 of the family's 154-position model. The record is from RNAcentral.